Molecule: small nuclear RNA, 103 nt
Organism: Octodon degus (degu)
Lineage: Eukaryota; Metazoa; Chordata; Mammalia; Rodentia; Octodontidae
Source: Ensembl
GUGUUCACUUUGGCAGCACAUAUAUUAAAAUUGGAAUGAUAGAAGAAGAUAACCAUGACACUUGUACUGGGAUGACACACAAAUUUAUGAAACAUAUAUUUUU